AUUGAACGCUGGCGGCAUGCCUUACACAUGCAAGUCGAACGGUAACAGGGAGCUUGCUCCGCUGACGAGUGGCGAACGGGUGAGUAAUGUAUCGGAACGUACCAUUCAGUGGGGGAUAACGUAGCGAAAGUUACGCUAAUACCGCAUAUUCUGUGAGCAGGAAAGCAGGGGAUCGCAAGACCUUGCGCUGAUUGAGCGGCCGAUAUCAGAUUAGCUAGUUGGUGAGGUAAAGGCUCACCAAGGCGACGAUCUGUAGCGGGUCUGAGAGGAUGAUCCGCCACGCUGGAACUGAGACACGGUCCAGACUCCUACGGGAGGCAGCAGUGGGGAAUUUUGGACAAUGGGGGCAACCCUGAUCCAGCCAUGCCGCGUGAGUGAAGAAGGCCUCGGUUGUAAGCUCUUCGGUCCGGAAAAUACGCAUCAGUUAAUACCUGGUGUGGAUGAUGGUACCGGAAUAAGAAGCACGGCUAACUACGUG
This 478-nucleotide ribosomal RNA is filed under the name uncultured bacterium. RNAcentral describes it as "bacterial SSU rRNA". It matches the Rfam family "Bacterial small subunit ribosomal RNA", at positions 30 to 507 of the family's 1533-position model. The record is from RNAcentral.